Molecule: long non-coding RNA, 259 nt
Filed under: Gossypium barbadense (sea-island cotton)
Lineage: Eukaryota; Viridiplantae; Streptophyta; Magnoliopsida; Malvales; Malvaceae
Description: long non-coding RNA (GBAR_LNC016807)
Source: RNAcentral
UGGUUUUUAAGCUAAUGAAUUACUUCGUAUUUGAUGUUAUUGUCGUAUUCGAAUUCGAUAUAGACUCGGGUUUUAUAUGUAGAGAAUUGUUGAUAUGUUGUUGUAUGAAUUCAGAUAUAGAAUCGGUUUUUUGUAUAUGGAUAAUUGUUGAUAUGAUAUGAUAUGAUAUGAUAUGAUAUGAUAUGAUAUGAUAUGUAUGUUUGUUUCAUAUGUAGUUGAGGUGAGGAGUGGAGCUGAUGGAUUUAUGAUCAAAAUGAGG